GUGAGUAGGGAUUGCACACAUCAAUUGUAUUUAAUGUCAGAACUAGCUGGAUAUGUUUUCACGUUUUUCUUUUUUUAUACUUACAUUUUUGUCAUGGUGUCAACAGUAUAAUUUUAUAGGAAAACGUUUAUUAACAUUGUACAGUUAAGUAGGAUAAGUGGCAAAUUGUCACAGUAGGAAAGCAUUGGUAUGGGAAUGAGAAUUCCUGAGGACAGGUAGCAGAUCUGUUGCUAAUGAGCAAGGUCAUGUCCUUUCAUUUCCAAAACUAACAGUCUGCAAAAGCGAAGAAUAAGAAAUGCCAACUCGGCCAGGCAUUGGUGGCGCACACCUUUAAUCCCAGCACUCGGGAGGCAGAGGCAGGAGUUCGAGGCCAGCCUGGUCUCCAAAGCUAGUGCCAGGAUGGGCUCCAAAGCCACACAGAGAAACUCUAUCUCGAAAAACCAAAAAAAAAAAAAAAAAAAAAAGAAAAAAAAGAAAAGAAAAGAAAAGAAAAAAGAAAAAAAAAAGAAAUGACAACACUGGGGCUGGAAUGAUGGCUCAGAGGUUGAGGUUAAGAGCACUGGCUGCUCUUCCAGAGAACCUGAGUUCAAUUCCCAGCACCCACAUGGUUGCUCACAACCAUCUGGUGUGCAAGGAUACAUGCAGGCAGAACACUGUAAACAUAAUAAAUAAAUACAUUUUUUUAAAAAAAAGAAAUCCCAGCAACCAUACAGGAAUAUGAUCAAAUGUGAUGCUGACAUACAGGCCAUGUUAACAUUCUUCUUGACACUGGCUUCUCCGUUAACAGUGAUUUAGAUGAAAAUCUAUGUAAAUGACCAAUGUGAGACAAAUCCUCAGGUAAAUAUUCCAAAUAGAUAAUCUAUUCUCACUCAGCCACAGAUAAACAACUCAACUAAAACUAGACAAUGAGCUUGAACAGGAUCUUCUUUGGAAUAGUCUACAGAUUACAAAUAGUCAAUAGAUAGACGAGAAGAAGAUGCCAAACACCCUCAAUCACCUAGGAGAGGACAUCAAAACUACAAGGAGAUGCUUCCUCUCACCUGUCAGGGAGCUGUUAUCAAGAAGACAAAUGGUAACAAAUAUGCGAAAAGCUGUGGGGGACAGGAGCCCUGUCCACUGUUGACAAGGAUGUACAGUGAUUAUGACAGAUGAGAAGAACCUCAAUGGGGGGCCUCCAAACUAUUGAAACAGAUGCUAUCUCCAUCUCUCAAGUGAUACAGCAAUUAUAAAGGUUAAGAGGGUAAAUCACCUGUUAGACUUCCUCACCACAAAAACAAGCAAGCAAAGAGAUGCCAGGAGCUGUAGGAUUUGGUGGAUGUGUCUAGUAUGGUGAAAUUUGCAUAUUCCCAACUCAUCAAGUUGUCCACAUCAAAUAUGUAUGGUUCCUCGUGUAUCAGUUAUCCUAAAAUGAAGCUGGCAGAAAACCAGGAGGUGGAUCUUAGAGUUUCUGAGUUGCUUCCACUGUCAAAACCAAACUGACCAAAGAAUUCCAAAGCACUCAGCAUUUUUGUUGGCUUUGGUAAAUUGGAGUCUGAUCAUUUCCCUUUUUUUUUUAAUUAAAUAUUUUCUUGAUGAUUUCUCUGUCACUUGUGUUUCAGGCACACCCUCACUAGGUCUGUGUCUUACUUUGUGUGAGAAAACACUGUGGCUAAAAACACAGAAGGAGGAAGAGGCUUUCUUUCAGCUUUCAGUCCCACAGCACGGUUGUGGUGGCUUGAAUGAAAAUGGCUCCUAUAUCCCCAUGAAGAGUGGAACAAUUAGGAGGGGUGCCCUGUCGGAGUGGUUGCAGUGUUGUUGGAGGAAGCAUGUCAUUGAGGGCGGGCUCUGAGGUCUCAGAAGCUCAAGCCAAGCCUAGAGGUUCACUGUCUGUUCCUGCUGCCUGCAGAUGCAGACAUAGGACUCUCAGCUACCUCUCCAGCACCAUGUCUGCCACCAUAACAAUAAUGGAUUAACCCUCUAACCUGUAAGCCAGCCCCAAUUAAAUGUUUUCCUCAGCCAAGGCAGUGGUGGUGCACGCCUUUAAUCCCAGCACUCAGGAACCAGAGGCAGGUGGAUCUCUGAGUUCAAGGGCAGCCUGGUCUACACAAUGUGUUCCAGGACAGCCAAGGCUACACACCCUGUCUCAAAAAGUCGGAAAAAAAAAAAAACUUUUCCUUUAUAAGAGUUGCCUUGGCUCAUCACUGGAGCAAGUCAAGCAGGGCAGGAACCUGGAGGCAGGAGCUGAUGCAGAGCCACACAGGAACACUGCUUACUGGGUUUCCCCCCAUGCCUUUUCAGCCUGCUUUCUUUCAGCAUCCAGCACCACCAGCCCAGGGGUGGCACUGUCCGGUUAGCUGGGCCCCUCCUACAUCAAUCACCAAUUAAGAAAAUGUACAGAAGGUACUCUGUAGGCUACUAAAAGAAACAUGGACACCAACCCAGUCACAAAACCUUUGACCUACAAUCUGUCCCACCUGAAAAAUAGGGCAAUGGUGCCACAGAACUUGUGGGAGUGGCCAAGCAGCAUCUGAUUUGAUUAAAAGCCCACUCCACAAAAAGGAAUGCAUACCCAACACUGCUUGGGUAACAAGAACCAGAGACUAGAUAGUUCAGAGACCUAGGGGAAAAACAAAACACUACUGGCAAGGGAGAAAAGGAGGGAGGGAAGCAGAGAGGGGAGAGAGAGAGAGAGAGAGAGAGAGAGAGAGAGAGAAGCUUCCUCUGGCAGAAGAUGGGAAGAGAUGCAGAGACCCAUAGUAGAGAAAGAGGCUAAAUUGGAGGUCUCCAUCAAAUCCCUCCCCUCAGAGCUCACAGGGUCCCUUGGAAGGAGAGGCUGGAGGACACCUGGAGAACAAGGCCCUCUGAAUCAGCUAAGCAAAGUACAUAUGAGCUCACAGAGACUGAGGCAGCAGUCACAGGGCCGACAGGGGUCUGCACCAGGUCCUCUGCAUCUGUACCACAGCUGUCAGCUUACUGUUUUUAUGGGACUCCUAACUGUGAGAACGAGUGAUGUCUGACUCCUGUGCCUGCUCUGGGGACUCUUCCUCCUACUGGGCUGCCAUGUCGGACUGCAGUAUCUCAUGUUUUACUUCAUUGUAUUAUUUUGCUUUGCCAUGUUUGGUUGCUAAUCUCUUAGAAGCCUGUUCUUUUCUACCGAGAGACAGAAGGCGAGUGGAUCCAGAGGAAAGAGGAAGUGGGGAGGAAGUCGGAGGAGAAGAGGUGAGGAAAAUGUGGCCGAUGACACACGCCUGUAAAUCCAGCAAUCAGGCAGCUGAGACAGAAAGACAACAACUGUGUUUAAAGCAAGACUUUAUGUUAGCAAUCAAUUUGCUCUCAAGCACAGUUGAGCACUUACAGUGCCGGUUUCAAGAUGGUUUGUUCCAGCAAAACUCCAACAUCACAGCAUUGAGAAGAGAUACAUGGCUCCUACCAAUGGGCAUAUAUGGGCUGCACUGAUUGCACAGUGAUAGAUAGAUAGAUAAAUAGAUAGAUGAUAGAUAGAUAGAUAGAUAGAUA
This 3495-nucleotide long non-coding RNA is filed under the name Cricetulus griseus (Chinese hamster). Its description in RNAcentral is "lncRNA (ENSCGRG00015031232.1)". The record is from RNAcentral. Lineage: Eukaryota; Metazoa; Chordata; Mammalia; Rodentia; Cricetidae.